This 245-nucleotide unclassified non-coding RNA is filed under the name Glomeraceae sp. Its description in RNAcentral is "partial contains 5.8S ribosomal RNA and internal transcribed spacer 2". The stretch from base 1 to 71 matches the Rfam family "5.8S ribosomal RNA", at positions 84 to 154 of the family's 154-position model. The record is from RNAcentral. Lineage: Eukaryota; Fungi; Glomeromycota; Glomeromycetes; Glomerales; Glomeraceae.
GUGAAUCAUCGAAUCUUUGAACGCAAAUUGCACUUUCUGGUAUUCCGGAGAGUAUGCCUGUUUGAGGUUCAGUUAAAUUAAAAUCGGUUUUGUUGCUACCCGUAGUGGUUUGUUAUUCAUCUGAAUUGAGUCGUUCUUUGCCUUUGGUUUAUGUGACUUAAAUUUAUGUUCGAUUUUUGAACUUCGUUAAAUUAUUACUUACUUCCAUAAUGUCACAUAUUAGGGUCGUUCAUUCACAUUAUUUC